GCCCUGGUAAUUAUUCAAAGGUGAACCCUGCCCAGGGAUUYUUAAUUAAAAAUAGGAAAAAUAUUUAAAAAGAAUUAAAAGGACGCGGUAACCUUGACUGUGAUAAUGUAGCAUAAUCACUCGCCAUUUAAUUGAUGGAUAGUAUGAAUGGUUUAACGAAUAUUACACUAUUUAAAGUAUAGAUCUCAUAAAAAUGAAAUAAUAGUUAAGAUGCUAUUUAAAAUUGUAAGACGAAAAGACCCUAUAGAGCUUAACUAUAAUCUUUUUUAACAAAUCAGAAAAAAAAUUCUUCUUAAAUUAAAAAGACUGGKAGUUUAGUUGGGGCGACUAUUUUCUAAAAAUAACGAAAAUAAGCAAUAUUAAUAAUAUAAUUUAUUGUAUAAUAAACAAAUUUAACAAUUACUACAGUAGGCUAUAAUGACCCGUUAUUAUUAAAUAAAAAAAAUAACGAUUAAUGAAUAAAAGCUACCUUAGGGAUAACAGGAUAAUUUUAUCUAAGAGUUCUCAUCGAAGAUAAAGUUUGUCACCUCUAUGUUGAAUUAAGAUAUCCAAAUAGUG
This 558-nucleotide ribosomal RNA is filed under the name Eudendrium capillare. Its description in RNAcentral is "partial 16S ribosomal RNA". It matches the Rfam family "Bacterial large subunit ribosomal RNA", at positions 1833 to 2555 of the family's 2925-position model. The record is from RNAcentral. Lineage: Eukaryota; Metazoa; Cnidaria; Hydrozoa; Anthoathecata; Eudendriidae.